This 1855-nucleotide long non-coding RNA is filed under the name Homo sapiens (human). Its description in RNAcentral is "HSALNT0304314". Lineage: Eukaryota; Metazoa; Chordata; Mammalia; Primates; Hominidae. The record is from RNAcentral.
CCUACUUUUUCUCCGCCACCUGGGCCGUGAUUGGGCGCGACCUGGGCUCCUGGGUGCUCAUUGGCGCCGUGAAGUGCUCGUCACCGCCCCCUCCUGCCCCUUCAUGCAUGCGCGGAGGCCGCCUGCUAGCAAGGUGCUGAACCUGAGAGCAGCCCCAGUACACUCCCUGCAUGGGAAUCUCCAUCUCAAAGUCAGCCUCCAGGGAGCCCGCCCUGAAACAGAUUCUGUCAUGGAACUCAACAGAGUAUCCUGGUGCGGAUAACCAGUGUUGGGAGUUAGAGCACGGACUCUCUCCACCUGCACGGUGCUGGAGCUCUGCACACCCCCUCUGCAGCCAUCCCUCGCCGCUGUCCCUUAGCUGACGCCCUUGCCCUCUGUGUGUCCUUCCUCAUGGCCUGCAGGUUUCAGAUCCCAAGCUACAGAUCAUGUCUUCUAGUCUGGGCUCUGGCAGAGAGUUCGGAAGCACUCUUAUUAUCUUAGCAGCAGCAUGUGUGGAAAUCAUUUCUCAUUACAGCGGAGGGCAGGCAUUGUGCAGAGGGUUAAGUGGGCCUGCUUGAAGUUGGUUGUUGUUAGCUCUCAUGUCUAUGCCUUGGUCCCUUUCCCCUCAGGACUUGGAGAGCAAGCUGUUUGAGUCUGAUGCAACCCCUGGGCUUUGACUAUCAUGCCAAAAGGCAGCAAAUAAGUGCCUUUUCUUCCCUUCAGAAUACAUGGACAAUCCAAAGCUCUAUUAGUCUAUUAUUCAGAAUGAAAAGUGUUUACAAUAUUCGUCCUCUUACUCCUCAGUAUGUGAGACUGUUCCUCGUAGCAGGUAAUUUCUUCCGAAUUCAAAAACUCCUCAUGGAAGCAUCUGUUUUUGUCAUCAAGGAGGGGGCUGUAUGUGGAAUUGCAAGGCCAAAGACAUCUCGGGUCAACUCUUCUCAGGACCAGAUCCAAGUCGCCAGUGAGAACACACAUUCAGGCAGCCUCCACCAGCGCCCUGCCUCAGGAGCGAGGCUCCCUGCUUCAUGUGGGCAAGAGCUGCCCUUGUUUUCCCAGCGGGCAGUUGGGGGUCUGGAGCCUAGGAAGCAAAGUGAAGCACACACUCCUGCUUCCUUCCUUCCCUGCAGUUGAGACGGGAGUCUUACUUUGUUGCCCAGGCUGGUCUCAAACUCCUGGCUUCAAGCAAUCCUUCCACUUUGGCCUUCCAAAGUGCUGGGAUUACAGGCAUGAGCCACCAUGCCCAGCCUCCUUCUCUUACUAGCUGAGAACUAAGAGAAGACACUCUGGAGACAGAGGAGGAAACAGUGACGAUGCCACAUGAUGAAUACAUAAUGGAGGGUGAAGACAAGGCUCCGUCAGGGGCACCAAGGAGGGAAACCCAGUUCUGUGGGGAAGGUAUGGGGCAGCUUCACAAGCCCAGUGUCUGCUCCCUUUGUGGGAGACGUGUUGUUUCAGCAUCCAUUCCCCCUUCUUUUAGGAAAAGUGCUUGAAUUUCCUUUUCAUGGAACCACCCACCUCCCUCUCAUCCAUGCAUUCUAUUCCCAGUAUCAGGGGUAGACAAGUGACUUCAGGCUUGGCCAAUUAGGGUUCUGACUCUUGGUCAAAUCAGAGUGAAUCCUGAGUCAUUUGUAAACUCCAAGGAAAGGGCUUGCUUUGUUUUCUGUUGAAUGCAGUGCUCUGAGAUAGCCGGAAAUGAAACUGCUCUCUUGCCACACUGAAGGCUAGAGAAGGGCCUGGCCAGGAAAUGAUGCCAGUGAUCAGGGGUGGAGCUGGAAGAGGGGGAGUGAGGAGGCCCAGACAUCUUGGGAGCCCCAAAUUCACCUCAGGAUUUAACUUCUCCGCUGCUCAGCCAAUAAAUUCCUUUCUUCCAUGACUA